Molecule: ribosomal RNA, 466 nt
Filed under: uncultured bacterium
Lineage: Bacteria
Description: bacterial SSU rRNA
Rfam family: Bacterial small subunit ribosomal RNA
Source: RNAcentral
UUCCAGACUCCUACGGGAGGCAGCAGUGAGGAAUAUUGGUCAAUGGCCGAAGGGCUGAACCAGCCAAGCCGCGUGAAGGAAUAAGGCCCUACGGGUCGUAAACUUCUUUAGUCAGGGAACAAAGGGUGCCACGCGUGGCGCUGUGAGUGUACCUGAAGAAUAAGCAUCGGCUAACUCCGUGCCAGCAGCCGCGGUAAUACGGAGGAUGCGAGCGUUAUCCGGAUUUAUUGGGUUUAAAGGGUGCGUAGGCGGUUUUUUAAGUUAGUGGUUAAACGUCGGGGCUUCACCUUGAUUUGCCAUUAAUACUGUAAGACUCGAGUUCAUACGAGGUAGGCGGAAUAAGUUAAGUAGCGGUGAAAUGCUUAGAUAUAACUUAGAACUCCGAUAGCGAAGGCAGCUUACCAGACUGCGACUGACGCUGAAGCACGAGAGCGUGGGUAGCGAACAGGAUUAGAUACCCGUGUAC